GCACAAGCGGUGGAGCAUGUGGUUUAUUCGAUGAUACGACGUAAAACCUUACCUGGGCUUGAACUGUGCAUGACAGGUGUAGAGAUACACCCUCCGCAAGGCAUGUACAGAGGUGCUGCAUGGUUGUCGUCAGCUCGUGUCGUGAGAUGUUGGGUUAAGUCCCGCAACGAGCGCAACCCCUACCCUUUGUUGCUACCAGAUAAUGCUGGGCACUCUAAGGGAACUGCCGGUGAUAAACCGGAGGAAGGUGGGGAUGACGUCAAAUCAUCACGGCCCUUAUGUCCAGGGCUACACACGUGCUACAAUGGCCGGUACAAAGCGUUGCAAACCUGCGAAGGGGAGCCAAUCGCAAAAAACCGGUCUCAGUUCAGAUUGCAGUCUGCAACUCGACUGCAUGAAGCUGGAAUCGCUAGUAAUCGUGGAUCAGAACGCCACGGUGAAUACGUUCCCGGGCCUU
RNAcentral lists this ribosomal RNA (457 nucleotides) under uncultured Leptospiraceae bacterium. RNAcentral's name for it is "bacterial SSU rRNA". It matches the Rfam family "Bacterial small subunit ribosomal RNA", at positions 923 to 1382 of the family's 1533-position model. The record is from RNAcentral. Lineage: Bacteria; Pseudomonadati; Spirochaetota; Leptospiria; Leptospirales; Leptospiraceae.